CCUACGGGAGGCAGCAGUGGGGGAUAUUGCACAAUGGGGGAAACCCUGAUCCAGCGACGCCGCGUGUGGGAAGACGGUCCUCUGGAUUGUAAACCACUGUCCCCAGGGACGAAGAUGACGGUACCUGGGGAGGAAGCUCCGGCUAACUACGUGCCAGCCGCCGCGGUAAUACGUAGGGAGCGAGCGUUGUCCGGAAUUACUGGGUGAAAAGGGAGCGUAGGCGGGGAUGCAAGUUGGGUGUCAAAACUACCGGCUCAACUGGUAGUCGCACUCAAAACUGCAGCUCUUGAGUGAAGUAGAGGCAGGCGGAAUGCCUAGUGUAGCGGUGAAAUGCGUAGAUAUUAGGAGGAACACCAGUGGCGAAGGCGGCCUGCUGGGCUUUUACUGACGCUGAGGCUCGAAAGUGUGGGGAGCAAACAGGAUUAGAUACCCCAGUAGUC
This 440-nucleotide ribosomal RNA is filed under the name uncultured bacterium. RNAcentral's name for it is "partial 16S ribosomal RNA". It matches the Rfam family "Bacterial small subunit ribosomal RNA", at positions 338 to 795 of the family's 1533-position model. The record is from RNAcentral.